CAAACAUAAUCCAACACACAGAGCUGCCUUUGUAGAAUUAGUAACAAACAGUGGAAGGGCCAGACAGGCGCCCCAGAAGAGCUCCCCAUGACAACUGGGAAACCUCCUCACCCCCAGGGUUGAGCUGACUCCACUGAGCUGGGGUUGGAGAACCCCAGCUCUCACAUCUGAAUCUACAACAAGCCUCAAGUGCCUGCCCUCAACCUCACUAGAAGCUAUUCGGAGGGCAUUCGGCUCUCCAUAACAGCAAGUUAGAAGCAAGCAUUCUCCAUACUGACAACAGCCAUACUCUGCCUCAUGGCACAUGCCUUUUGAAAUGCAACACUGCAAAUCUCCAAAUCACAUGAACAGCAUUUACACCUGUACCUAACCAUCUCAGCUGUGAGCUGGUAGGACCACCUCUCGUCUUUAGAAAAUAAUUUCUUUUUGCAAAUUAUAGGCUGAUCCCGGCAUUCUGAAACAUGUAAAUAUAACACUGUAUUCAUCUCCACUGAGCAUUUAGCAUCUGAAGCCUGUGGUAGCCAGCUGGUCUCAAAGUCAUCUGGGAUACAUUUAUUUUGAUUAAAUUGAUCAGAUUUCUAUUUACAGGAUAGAAUCUUUUGCCAUUACUGAAUACAGCUGUGUUUACAGGGAUUUGUAGAAGAAGAAAACAAAACCCCACAAUCGGUCCUAGCAAAGCACAGAGCAUUCAGAACUGGAAGGAGUUAAAACAGAGGGGGCUUGCUUUCACAGUAAAAAGAAAAUUCUGCAUGCAGCUGCUUUGGCCAUGCUGUCUCACUAGUCAGGAAAUGGGUGUUGAACUGGAGCUGAAAACACAAGCUGCAAUCAAGCCCGAUCCAGCAAAGUGACAGACUUCCUGUGUAAAAUGGUCAGAAACCUUUUUUCAUGUCUCUACAUGCAUGCACAUGCAUUUAAAUCCAUGCUGCGAGGCUGCGAUUUUCUCUGGGGACACUGGUACAGUCAUCUAGCCCAUCAGUUCCUUCGUCGACAGCGCCGGGGACAUCCAGACUACAAUUUACAGUUCCUCUAUCCAUGUGCUGGGUUAUAAAUUAUGCCAUCCUCCCUAGAAUGAGAAUGCACAGCAAGCGGCAGACAAUCACCCGGCAUUCGGCAUCUCUUUCUUUUCACGCGCUCCCUCGCUCCGCCUUUCUCCAGCUCUGCCUUCUCAGGCAGAUACAUCAGAUACCUUGUUUAUCCAUCUUCAGCUCCACUCUGAGGUAAAAUGCCACCACAUCUCGCCAUGGGUUGUCCCCCCAGACUAAAUCCCUGGGAACAGCCUGAGCUGGGUGCACGCGGCGGAGGCGACGGCUGCCCUUGCCCUGUGGAGCACGGGUGGGCAUUGGAUGUAAGGGCGCAGACGCACGAUUCCGGGAUCGGGUGCACCUUGGCGAAGCCCAGGCGGGAGACGGCAGGAGCAGCUCAGGUAACCAGGGGAAGCUUGGCGUGCCCACGGAGAUGCAGCCCUGGAGCUGUGAGGAAAG
This 1481-nucleotide long non-coding RNA is filed under the name Pan troglodytes (chimpanzee). Its description in RNAcentral is "long non-coding RNA NONPTRT015030". The record is from RNAcentral. Lineage: Eukaryota; Metazoa; Chordata; Mammalia; Primates; Hominidae.